RNAcentral lists this ribosomal RNA (253 nucleotides) under uncultured bacterium. Its description in RNAcentral is "partial 16S ribosomal RNA". It matches the Rfam family "Bacterial small subunit ribosomal RNA", at positions 524 to 776 of the family's 1533-position model. The record is from RNAcentral.
UACGUAGGUGGCAAGCGUUGUCCGGACUUACUGGGCGUAAAGGGCUUGUAGGCGGUUUGUUAAGUCUGGUGUGAAAUCUCCCGGCUCAACCGGGAGGGGUCAUCGGAUACUGGCAGACUAGAGACGGGUAGAGGAAAGCAGAAUUCCCGGUGUAGCGGUGAAAUGCGUAGAUAUCAGGAGGAACACCCGUGGCGAAGGCGGCACUCUGGGUCGGCCCUGACGCUGAGGCGCGAAAGCGUGGGGAGCGAACGGG